CAAAAGACUUCCCUAGAGCUGUGGCCCCCACACCUUUUCUCUUCUAUGAACACGUGUGAUCUGGGCCGUGGAAGUUGUAUUUUAGACUCUGACAUGAAGUAACCGUUUCAUCUAUUUUUCUCUGUUACAGGAAAAAGGCCACAGUGAAGGCCGACUCCUUAGUUUCUUGGAACAGUCUGAGCACAAGACUUCAGAUGCAGACAUCAAGUCUUCAGAAACAGGAGCCUUCAGGUGAAUUGGAUUGUGCACUGAAUUGUGGCUGUCAGCAUUUCUGAAAAGUGCAGGCCUUGUCCUGUGUUCUGUGUGUAGUGUGAUACUCAAACUGUUGCAGUAGAAAUCACUGUGGAACUAUUAUGACCUCUCUCUCAGUAUGACUCUGUGCUCCCCGUUUAGCUAAAGAUUGGAUAGCUCAAUUCAUUCAUUGUGUUAAAACAAGCAGAGUGAAAGUUAUGUCUUAUUCUUCUGUACCUCUCUAUCCCCAUCCAACCCUGGUUUUCUGACCUGGAUUCUCAAGCAGCUUGGGAAUUUGGAUCUCAAUUCUCAUUCUCUCAAUGGCCAGCUUUAAGUAGUAUAUGAUUUACCCA
This 584-nucleotide small RNA is filed under the name Pan troglodytes (chimpanzee). Its description in RNAcentral is "retained intron". The record is from RNAcentral. Lineage: Eukaryota; Metazoa; Chordata; Mammalia; Primates; Hominidae.